CUUCCCUCCCUUUCUUCCUCCCUCCCUCCCUACCUACCUUUCCGUGUCCUUUCCUUCCUGGGAGAGGCUUCAGAGCAAACAUUAAGAUAUUUUUCCCAGUGCAUCUCCAACAGUCUACUAUUAGAAGAUGAAAUACAGACCCAGAGAAUUCAGAUGUCACCUUCCCCAAAGUGACUUGCGUGGGGGAAAGAUGCUCUGGAAAGCUAGACAAGUGUCCUCCUGAUUUAACAUCAUUCACCUUUCCAUAAUGGGCUCUGCACAGCACAGGGGCUGGUUCAGACAGGAAGUAUUGGACUAGCACUUAGAGGACAACAGAAGAGAUGCAGUCCAAGUAGUUUUCUAGGUUCUUCAGAGCACGGAAAAAGGCUGUGGCCUCCCUGGGAAAGAGGUUCUCUCAUGGAGAAAAACAAAAUCAUCUUGGAUCUCCUCAGGCAACUAAAUGGUGUCUAUCCAGCAAACACAUCCACACAGGCCAGUGUUGAGAUGGCUAUAUCAUACAGGCAAGUCAAUCAGUCCUGUGAUGGUUCCAAGGCAGCCAAAGUAUGUAGGAACGAGGUGGCCAUCCUUCAUCUUGUGGGUAGAACAAGUUCUCCUGGUAGAGAGCCCAAGGGCUUGGCUGAGGAGAGAAGAGCUGGAAGGAUCUUGAGAAGCAUUGGCUAUGUCUGCUUUCCCGCUUGUUUUGAGGGAUCUGAACAGUAUCUGCCAAGACUUACCAGAUCUGAACCCUCAAGCAAUGGGAGUCAGGAAAAGGGGGAGUGAGAAGAGAGGUACUUCUGCAAGGCAGUGGCUCUGUUCCCUGAGAUAAAAGGCCUUCUGCCAUCUCUCCACAAGUCUUCCAAUCCCUACAAUAGAAGGUCUUCCCCAGUUUGGCCAAGGAAAUUUGGCAAACCCUCCAAGGUUUGGUGAGACAAGGUUGAGUGCUUCCCUGGAUCGUCCCACCACUAGCAUGAUGGACCAUGAGGCUUGCCUGAAGGUAAUUAGCUGAUGGGCCUGGAUUUACGUCAGCCACUUCAGGAAACUUACACUCUGGGCCAUUCACUAAAGAUCCCAGCUGACAGCUGUCACUUCAUACAGAGUGUAGCAAAGACCAAAGGCAUCACAAGAGACUACCAGCUUCAACAGGGAACAGAGCUGGUGGAGUUGAUCAUCUUUCUGGCAGUUUCCAACAUGUUGAGGAAAAGGGAUGGAAAGAAUAGAAGAACAGCUACAGAAAAAUUCAAAAACGCAUGUGGAAUGAAAAGAACCCUGUGUGUAAAGUGGACUUCAGCAAGCUUGGGCUCUUAGAACCGUUUAUAAAUCCAGCCCUGAGGCAAAUGCUACUUGCCCAGAUGAAGACUCCAGGUGGAAGUCCUGUGCCUUCUGAAUUUGUUCUAAGGUCUUCGGCCAAGCUCAGCCAGACGACUUCUGGAACUCUAGGCACCAAGUCAACCUUUACUCCACCAAGCAAAGGGCUCCUCAGUGCGUACGAUGAGACAUAACCAUUAGUGUGCAGCUUCUGCUAAAUCUUCUACGUGGGAAGGGAGUAGAGAGUUCUAUUCUUAGUUCUACCACUAAGUUAUCAUGGGAUGGUGACCCCCGCCACCAGAUUCCUUAUUGCUGGUGACAAAAACUAGAGAGAAAAAUCUUUAACACCCAGCAAAAGUAUAACCAUUCCAAAUAGUUUAUAAUGAUUUCUUUUUCUGGGAAAAUAAUGUCCAACAGAAAUAACAUGAGAAAAGCAGUGGAAAAAUGCAUGAGCAUGUCAAAGUCUCCCCCAUCUCCACUGUCCCAUAAUAUCAAAUCACAUCACAGAGAAGAAAAUAGAAAGAAAAAUGUGUCUCCAGAGAGUCAACAGCUCAAGCCCUCUGUCCCAUAGAAAUAAUCGUUAUACCAAAGCACCAUAUCAGGAGACUACACUUUUGUUUUAUUCAACUGGUUAAUGGUCAAAGAGAUUCAAAAGAGAGCAUCUUCCUUUAUUUUUCUCUUUCUUUUCUUGUUUUCUUGAGACAGGGUUUCUCUGUGUAUUUCUGUCUGGCCUGGAAAUGGCUCUGUAGACCAGACUGACAUCAAACUCACAGAGAUCAGCCUGCCUCUGCUUCCUGAGUGAUGGGAUUAAAUAUGUGUGCCUCCACUGCCCAGUGAGAAAAAAAACUUUCUAUAGCUCUUAAAAGUUAUCUUAUUAUUCUCACUCUGCAUCUUUUAAUACACAGUCUAGGUGGAGUGUCUGAAUGAGACUUACAUUGGUAGGCAAACAGGAAUGGUCCUGGGGUUCACAGCAACACCUGCAUCAGGUUGAACCUCACAAUGCUCUAGUGCUCCUAAUGGAAAGAUCAAGCCAGCAAAAUGGAGAAAGAAGUCCUUUGAUGCUGGCCUAACCAAGAUGCUGGGCAAGGUUCUGAGUUCCUGGUUAGUGAGAGCUUGGUUUGGUGUAACUUUCCCAGUGACUGUCUCUGUGGCCAGGAGGGUAGGUUAAGGGGAAGGACUCCAAGAACCUUGGUUCAGACUGCAUUCUGUUUCACACAUCCAUUAGUUCCAUUUCCUCUGGCAAGCUACUGGGCCUCAGUUUCCUUGUAUGUAAAAUAUAGACAUAAAGUACUUAACACCUAUAUCAUUGACUCCAUAAUAUUAAACAUCAUCACUAUUUUUAUUGCCUUGGGCUACCAUGAUAAAACAUCAUAGAAUGUCUAGCUUAAACAACAUAUUUGGCUGGCUUAAACAACCCUAGAAAUCAAGAUCCAGAUCACAUUGGUGGAUUGUUUGAUUCUUGGUAUCAUUGCGCAAUGAGAGCAGUUGGCGCACUAGGGGAUGUUCCAAACCAGUGCAGUUAAGCAAAGAAAACUAUUAAGGUAUCAUAUGAUGGUUUGGUGGUUAUAAUCAGAUGAGUAAUUAUCGUGCACUGUAAUUAGUGAAAGGAAAACAAUAUACUAAAACUAAAAAUAGCAAUAAUGACAUCUGCUAUAAAACUUCUGGUGGAUCAGGGAGUUGGAAUGAACUACCCUAGGAAUCAUAUUAUUUUCAUCCCAAUUCUACUAUUCUUUAAAAAAAACAGUAAAGUUACUGAACAGAUGUAGCCUUCAUUUUUUAUUUGCAUGAUGAAGGUCAUAAUGAACUGUCUUAUCUUGUAUAGUUCAUGGAAAUCUACAAGAAAAUAGAUGAUUUUUUUGGGGGGAACCCUUAAAAACCAUAAUCUGUAGUUAAUAAAAGGAGUCCCAAAUAUUGCAGGAAUGUUCCCCUUACUCUCACUGGGCCUUGGUUUUCUUAGUUUUGUUAGCAAUGCCUUAGAAUUGUCCCUCACACAUGGUGGCAUAAGGGUCCAUGCUACAGGAGAAAUCUCACAAACACCUGAAGAUAUAUCUGUGUGCCCACAAGUUUUGAAAGGCUCCAAUGUAACAAACAUUCACUUCAGGAAGUAGUCUCCACACAUCCAAUGUUUUUCAGUUGUAAAUCAGUAAUACAAACAAGGGAAGUCUAUUUUUCUAGAAUAGCCAUAUAUAUACAUAUAUACAUAUAUACAUAUACAUAUAUAACUUUAUGAUCAAUAUGAAAACCACAAAAUUAGAAGAAAAAAAUUUAGGGUUCUGUGAUGCUGGAGAACAGAUCUGUGUACCUGAUCCAGGUGGGAUGGGAGACAGUGUCAAUUUCACUGCCUGAGUCUGUGGUUUUGUGGGUGACUCACAAACCUGGCUCAUCUGCUGAGCCAUUAAACUCCUAGAGAGAGAAAGAAAUGUAUCUCUUUGACUCAUUCAGGCAUUUUUCAUAGAGGAUAUACUCAAUGAUACCUGAUUAAAUCAUUAAUGCAAACAAGGGAAGUAAAACUGGAUGAUGUCAUUUAAAAUCAUAAGCACAUUUGAAUCCCAUCUUUGUAUUAAGCUAGUGCUUCAAUGUUAACUAACACCCACACACACCUCCAUCCAAGCCAUCCUCCAGUGGGGAAGCCAGCAGCUUUGACAAAAACAGACCUUUUGAACUGAAUGUUUCAGCUUCUGAUUAGUUAAAUAACGGGGUCUUUGCUUUCAGUCAAGUUGAUGAUGCAAAGGAGUGGUUUAAACAAAAAUAAUUGCAGGGAGAAGUCUAAAGCCCAAAUCCUUGUUCCUGGAUUUCCGGUCCUGCACCAUUAAGGUCCACUUCUUCCUGCCUCCCUGCCACCCUGAAUCCACUGCCUCACCCCUAGAAUACCAUCACCCCCAGUUCUUUGCUUGACUGUCUUCUCUAUGUGCCAGCUUCUCCUCUAGUGUGCCUUUGUUGACCGUUGAGACCCUCUGUUUAAGUCAAUACAUCCAUGCUUUCAUUUCCUGCCUUAUGUCUUCUACUUGAAAACCACUUAUUCAUAGUAGUCGGGUGAUUAUUUAAUUCCUCCUUUCUCCUUAGACUACAAUCUGCAGGAGAGCAGAAAUUGAGUCUAUUUUGUACAUGACUGCCUCCUUGAGAGUUAGCACGGGACCUGGCCUUUAACAAGCAUCUGAGUGAACAUAGGCAAUGGAAAAGCAAAGAAGGGCUGUUUAUAAAACGUUUCAUAUGUACAGAGCACUGUGUUAGAUAAGUAGCUGGAAAAUUACUCAGUCUUCAAAUGAAGAUGCACACACACACACUCCACCAAACUAGGAUUUCUCUUUUAAAAUCUAUUGCCUGUCAAACAUGGAAGCAUAAACCAGAUUGACUAAAAUCGGACCUACUCAAGGGCCUUGCUUCAUAUUGUUUCCAAGAGAUUAUGGAUCAGACAAGAUCCCAUCAACGAAGCAGUCAGUCAGGAAAUGAGAGCUUGAUAAAUUUCUGAAGGUGAGUUGCCUUACAAGGGCAGGGUCCAGCUACACUGGCAGCAUCUACUAUCCAGUCAAAGAGCAACACAGUGAGAGACUGUCUCUGCAGUGUGCGACCCUGGAGAAAUGCUGAGUGUGGAAAUUCCCCUCAAGUUCCUCUGAGCCAAGUACUUGCCGAGCAAGCCCCAAGGAUCUGAGUUCAGAUCUUCAGAAUCCACUGGAAAGCUCUAAGCAACGGUGUCUUUAAUCCUGGUGCUCCCCUAGCAGGACACGGGAGGAGGAAACUGAAAAAUCUCCAGAAGCCUUUUGGCCAGCUAGUCUGGCUUACACAACAGCAAAGAAGGCCUGUCUCAAACAAUUGGGGAGUUGAGGGUGGACACUGGAGGGUUACACUAUGACAACUCUAUAUGCAUGUGCUCAUAUCACAGCCACCAUACACAUUCAUAUACAGGUAAGAGAGAAGGGGAGGGAGGG
RNAcentral lists this long non-coding RNA (5210 nucleotides) under Cricetulus griseus (Chinese hamster). Its description in RNAcentral is "lncRNA (ENSCGRG00015034940.1)". The record is from RNAcentral. Lineage: Eukaryota; Metazoa; Chordata; Mammalia; Rodentia; Cricetidae.